GACGAACGCUGGCGGCGUGCUUAACACAUGCAAGUCGAACGCUGAAGCUCAGCUUUUGUUGGGUGGAUGAGUGGCGAACGGGUGAGUAACACGUGAGUAACCUGCCCCCUUCUUUGGGAUAACGCCCGGAAACGGGUGCUAAUACUGGAUAUUCACUGGUCUUCGCAUGGGGGUUGGUGGAAAGGGUUUUUCUGGUGGGGGAUGGGCUCGCGGCCUAUCAGCUUGUUGGUGGGGUGAUGGCCUACCAAGGCUUUGACGGGUAGCCGGCCUGAGAGGGUGACCGGUCACAUUGGGACUGAGAUACGGCCCAGACUCCUACGGGAGGCAGCAGUGGGGAAGAUUGCACAAUGGGCGCAAGCCUGAUGCAGCGACGCCGCGUGAGGGAUGGAGGCCGUCGGGUUGUGAACCUCUUUCGCUCAUGGUCAAGCCGCAACAAUGGUUGUGGUGAGGGUAGUGGGUAAAGAAGCGCCGGCUAACUACGUG
Molecule: ribosomal RNA, 483 nt
Filed under: uncultured bacterium
Lineage: Bacteria
Description: partial 16S ribosomal RNA
Rfam family: Bacterial small subunit ribosomal RNA
Source: RNAcentral